This 253-nucleotide ribosomal RNA is filed under the name uncultured bacterium. RNAcentral's name for it is "partial 16S ribosomal RNA". It matches the Rfam family "Bacterial small subunit ribosomal RNA", at positions 524 to 776 of the family's 1533-position model. The record is from RNAcentral.
UACAGAGGGGGCAAGCGUUAUUCGGAAUUAUUGGGCGUAAAGGGCGCGUAGGCGGCGAUUCAAGUGACGGGUGAAAUCCCUCGGCUUAACCGAGGAACUGCCUGUCAGACUGGAUUGCUUGAGGCCGGGAGAGGCGAGUGGAAUUCCCAGUGUAGCGGUGAAAUGCGUAGAUAUUGGGAGGAACACCAGUGGCGAAGGCGGCUCGCUGGACCGGUUCUGACGCUGAGGCGCGAAAGCGUGGGGAGCAAAAGGG